This 465-nucleotide ribosomal RNA is filed under the name uncultured bacterium. Its description in RNAcentral is "partial 16S ribosomal RNA". It matches the Rfam family "Bacterial small subunit ribosomal RNA", at positions 28 to 507 of the family's 1533-position model. The record is from RNAcentral.
GACGAACGCUGGCGGCGUGCUUAACACAUGCAAGUCGAACGGAAAGGCCCUGCUUGCAGGGUACUCGAGUGGCGAACGGGUGAGUAACACGUGGGUGAUCUGCCCUGCACUUCGGGAUAAGCCUGGGAUACUGGGUCUAAUACCGGAUAGGUGCCAUUCGUAGUGUGAUGGUUGGAAAGUUUUUUCGGUGUAGGAUGAGCUCGCGGCCUCUCAGCUUGUUGGUGGGGUAAUGGCCUACCAAGGCGGCGACGGGUAGCCGGCCUGGGAGGGGGGACGGCCAACUCGGGAAUGAGAAAAGGCCCCGACCUCCACCGGAGGGAGGCGUGGGGAAUAUUGCAAAAUGGGGCGAAGGCCGAUGGAGGGACGGCGGGUGGGGGGAGGCCGGCUUCCGGUUGGAAACUCCUUUCUCGAAGGAAGGAGGUUUUUGUGACGGUACCUAGAUAAGAAGCACCGGCUAACUACGUG